CUCCUGUCAAUCGUGUGUCGUCUGUUUGAUUCCUUCCCUUCUCCAAUCGUACUCCUCCAUGCUCAGGUCCUUCCCUCCCCCUCCCUACUCGAGAUCCCCUAAUCCGUCCGUGCGCCCAGCCCUUCCUUGCUCGCAUCUCCUGCACCGAAGCAGAUGCGACGGCGGCACCAUCCUCGUUGGUGGAGGCAUGGUGGCAAUGGGGGAUCGACAGCGCCACCUCGAUCUCGGCGGCCGACGUCUGGUACUCGGCCGCCGAGCCGGGGAGCCCAUGCCCCGAGGCCUGCUGGCUGGUGGAGGCGGAGGGUAGGACGGCACGGCGACGGCGGGCGUCAGCGCCCGUCUAGGUGCCCAUGUGUCCGAGCUGCUUCGUUGUGCCAGACCCGGAGGCCGGAGCAGAUGCUAUUCGAGAUGUUGGACGACAACAGCAAGGCGGGCGCCGGUGGGUGGGAGCCACCGCACAGCAUUGGUGGUGGAGGUCGCCGGGCCGAUGCUCAAGGGCCGGGCUGUGCUGUGGGUGCGCGACGCUAUUUGGAGCCAGACUGGCUUCAACCGACGACGGCCAUUCAAAGCUUGGGUUUUGAUUUCCUUUUUCCUUUUCAAUUGCUCUCAGAUUUCUCCGCCUCUCUUUUUCUGGGAUGAAAAUUUUGUAACACGCACGGGUUGCUUCUUGUUUUUGGCCUCCGAUCCAUCCAGGAUUAGUAGUAAAUCGAUUGACACAAGAGCUAGAGAUGAAGCAAUAAUUGUGUGGUGACUGAAUCGUUGGUUAAAUAAUCUGGUUGCUGAUUGGGCAGCUAGAUACUCGCUUGCUCCAACGAAAAUCGGUUGGAGCUUGAUGAUUCUUUCUUUUGGAUACUUUAUUGGUCUUGUAAUUCGACAUGUUUAUGUUUGUUCUUCUCAGUAUUUUCCUGUUUGGCUCAAAUAUGUGUCUAGCAUCAAGUUGAUGGACGAUCAGACGAUGCCCCCUUCAAGCGGGGACCGCGGCAGAUAGAGCGUCUGCUAUCCCAGUCACAAGUUUUCCCUCGACGCUGCAAGGCCGUAUUUUUGCCCAAUCUUAUGGCCCCCUGCAUCCACCGUCCGCUCUGCAUCCAAUGAACAACUCGCGCACCAUCGAACGACGCGCGCACCAUGUGCACCUGACAGGCUGGUCCCACGUUCUAGAAAACCUGAGGGUCGUGUGCCCCCUUCACUUCGUCUGUUCAUCUUCUCUCUCUAGGGUUUCUCUCUCUUCUCCAUCCGCUCUAGCAGCCAUCGCCGAAAUUGCUCCCAUCACCCACUAUCGUUGCGCGCCUUUGGAUCCCAGCGUGGAAUCGGCGGGGUUUGAAGUGAAGAUCAGACCCAGUUCAUCGUCACGAGCAGCUGGAAUCCGGAGGGAGAGAGUGUUGGAUGGACUGCAGCAUCUGGGGUGGCUUCGAAUCCGGUGGUGCAGGUUCAGAAUAAGCAUUGUUUCCAUUGCCCAGCAAAAUGAUAGAGUUGGGGGUGCAGGGGGUGGAGAGCUGGCAGUGAUUCUAGUGAUUUUUGUUCCUAUCGUCUCCAGAUCGAGGGAACUGUGAGGACCAGGGGCAACGAAUCAGUGCCAGGCCUGUGCUCUUUGUCGGCGGCCGCAACACUGGGGGUACUGCAUUUUCAGAGGUAAAUCCCAUGCCCCAACCAACAAGAUGCGAUUUCCCCCAGGUCUUUCUCCCGUGUGGGUGUUGUCUGGUCCUCCUGCGCGAUUCAAGCCGAUUCGAUUUCUGUCUUGGUGUUUCAUUUCUGUCUUUGCUGCAUGUAUUUUAGCCCCCACCCACUGGCUGCAGUAGUAUUUUGAUAGAGAUAGGCGUGGUGGGAGUGUCUGUAGUGCUGGUAUAGAUUGCUACAUAUAUUGUUGUUCUACAGGGAAAUCAAAUCGAUGCAAGCCAUUGUUGGUUUUCUGUCCUUAUGCAAUAGCUGCUUCAGAUCGAUACAAAUAUUAUUCUGUGCUUAGCUCGUGUAGUUUUACCUUUGUAUGUGUCAAUUUUUACUUGAGUGCUCAUGUGCUUUUACCCAGUGGCUCUAUAACUUUUUUCUCCCUUCCAACAGCAAGUGCUUAUGUGAUUUUACUUAAUGACAGGGAGCUGUAGCACUGUCUUCUAGCUUUUGCAUUCUCUCUCAUGUAGGAAAAUUAAUUUGAGAUAGCUGAUCAUUUUCCAUAAUCAUUGCCUUUUGCCUUUUUGUUAUGCUUUUUGUGUGGCCAGAUUUGUGUUAUAUCCGUGUUUUUUCAGUGUCCCUCUCUGGAAUGCUGUAACAUGGAUUGGUCUUUAGACACAGUAACAACAAGAUCACCACUAGAGAUGGGUUUAAGUUGUAAAUCUAUAUUUCUACCAUUUUUAACUCCGAUCAUUUUUAGACUCCUGUUAUGCAUUGGUGGACCAGAAAAGAACUUAAUCAUUUUGUAGGGGCUUGACUAUGCAAGUGCAGAACUACAUGUUGGUUGCUUGCGACCCACAAACUUUUCUACUGGCAUUGUUAGGAGCAUUUUAAUACAUUUUAGUAGGUAUUUAAAUACUAUUCAUAUAGCAUUUUUAGUGUUCAGUUCAAGUAAUUUUUUUAACAUUUUAUGUCUCAUGUGACGGCCGAUAGACUCUCCUUUUGUUUGGAACCAAGUCUUUUUACAUCAUUACAAUCUAAAGUUUCCUUCUCAUGGUGUUUGUUUCUUUGCUCUAUACCCUAUGGAGAAAUAGCUAAAUUCAGACAUGUGCAUCUAAAAAUAGCUAAAUUCAGACAUGGUGUGAUGCUACCUCUAUUUAGUGUCAUGUGUAAUCACUGUCAUUGAAUGAUUUAUAUGUUUAAUACAAUCUGAAAUUGUUACAUUUAUCUGGCAUACUGUUUUAUCCUUUUUUGGAAUAUGACAUACAAUGCAUUAAUAUGGGGAAAUUAUAGUUUUUCUGCUCCCAGAUUAAUGAUACUAUGGGGAUACAUGUCAGGAAAGUGGAGUCCAGUUCUCCACCGCGUUCGGUUUGACCUUCCUACUUAUGUAUGUUGUGUUACCUUGUAGGCAACAUAUACUGAAUCGACAAGUAAUAUAUUUAUCAUAAUUUAGCAUUUUUGUUCUACUGAUUUAGCAUUUUUUAUGUUCUGAUGAUAAAUAUUUUCAGGAAAUUUGAUUUAUUUUGCUCUCUCACUUGUUCUACAUUGCUUUUGAGUCCACUAUAUCUUUUUUUUGAAAUAGUACUUGCAAACAGUGUUCCGAUAUUAAUUAAACAGUUGAUCUCUCAUCUCAUGCUGCCAUGCCAUGCGGUGCUUGCAGGGGUUAAUCCAUCCUCUUGUUGCAGGGUACACUCAGAGGAUUUGACCUGGACACCAACAUCUAGGUGGAUGAUUUGGGCAUUUUCGAUUCAGUUGCUCUUCCUUUGUUCGGGGGUUUAAUCUGGGGUGGGUGGGUGGUGUAUUCAUAUCACUGUUAAUUUGGGUUUCAUGAACGAAGCUUCAGUUUGGUUCCUGAAUGCGAAAUUGUUAUCUUGUUCUUCUUCACAUCAUUAUAACCAUUUUAGUACUUUGCAGUAGGCAUUUUUGUCAAAUAGUAGAAGCAUUUUUAGUACUUUCCUAUAGUGAAUUGUAUCAAUUACUAGAAGCAUUUCAUUACUUUCCAGUAGGCAAAUACAUCAAUUAUGAGACACGUUUCAGUACUUUUCAGUAGCAAACACAUCAAAUACUAGAAGCAUUUUCAGAACUAGGCAAUAAUAUUGGUAGGAAUUGGGCAAUAAUAUUGGUAGGAAAUGAGCAAUAAUAUUUGUUCUUGAUAGGCAAUAACAUGGGUUACAAUAGGUAAUUUUUCUGCCAAAGGUUACAUGUGGCUUCUACAUGCUGCAGCUGUUGAAGCUGAUGAAUCAUCAUGUGAAAACUGCUAUCGCUUAAAGUAUUGCAGUAUAGAUAGUUGAUGCACCUGUAGGAGAAGCUGCAUCACCAUAAAUUAUUAGGUGCUAAAUCUAAUGUUUUCAUCAGGCAAGAAUAAUAUACUUUGUGUCUUGUAGUGUCGAUCUAAUGUUUCAUGUAGGCAACAUACUGCGAAGUCUUUAACCCCUACUACUUUAAUUUCCUCUAAUUAUGUUCUUUCUUAAAAGCAUUGCAGGUCGUGGCAUGGUUAGGAAAGGAAGCAAAUAGGCAUUUCCUCUAAUGUUACUUGCUUGUAUAUUUAAUCUAAUUUUGCUUCAAAUCAAUCUGUGUUAUUUGCUUGUACAUUUAUUCUAAAUUACUUCGGAGUAUAUUAUGAUAUGCUUUCAACUUUUAACAGAAGUGUUUUUGGAAUUGUAUGAGAAAAAUAUGAUCGAGAUAUAUUGAAGUGAGAUCUUAUUUUGAAGUUUUUGCCAGGGGCAACUCAAUAGUGCAAUUGUAUUUUAA
This is an RNA transcript of Panicum virgatum (switchgrass), 4353 nucleotides long. RefSeq lists it as uncharacterized. The transcript has 5 exons. NCBI's taxonomy places the organism in Eukaryota, Viridiplantae, Streptophyta, Magnoliopsida, Poales, Poaceae. The record is from RefSeq and is a predicted model, not a curated record.